RNAcentral lists this ribosomal RNA (569 nucleotides) under uncultured bacterium. Its description in RNAcentral is "bacterial SSU rRNA". It matches the Rfam family "Bacterial small subunit ribosomal RNA", at positions 338 to 916 of the family's 1533-position model. The record is from RNAcentral.
CCUACGGGAGGCAGCAGUGGGGAAUAUUGCGCAAUGGGCGAAAGCCUGACGCAGCAACGCCGCGUGGGGGAUGAAGGCCUUCGGGUUGUAAACCUCUUUCAGCAGGGAAGAAGCGAAAGUGACGGUACCUGCAGAAGAAGCACCGGCUAACUACGUGCCAGCAGCCGCGGUAAUACGUAGGGUACAAGCGUUGUCCGGAUUUAUUGGGCGUAAAGAGCUCGUAGGCGGUUAGUCACGUCGGAUGUGAAAUCCCGGAGCUUAACUCCGGGCCUGCAUUCGAUACGGGCUGACUCGAGUGUUGUAGGGGAGACUGGAACUCCUGGUGUAGCGGUGAAAUGCGCAGAUAUCAGGAAGAACACCGGUGGCGAAGGCGGGUCUCUGGGCAACUACUGACGCUGAGGAGCGAAAGCGUGGGGAGCAAACAGGAUUAGAUACCCUGGUAGUCCACGCCGUAAACGGUGGGCGCUAGGUGUGGGGAACAUUCCACGUUCUCUGCGCCGCAGCUAACGCAUUAAGCGCCCCGCCUCGGGGAGUACGGCCGCAAGGCUAAAACUCAAAGGAAUUGACGG